UAGCUGAGUGGUAAAGCGCUAGGCUUCCAAACCAGAAGUCCUGGGUUAGAAUCCGGG
Molecule: transfer RNA, 57 nt
Filed under: Biomphalaria glabrata
Lineage: Eukaryota; Metazoa; Mollusca; Gastropoda; Planorbidae
Rfam family: tRNA
About the family: Transfer RNA (tRNA) molecules are approximately 80 nucleotides in length.
Source: Rfam by way of RNAcentral